Molecule: ribosomal RNA, 253 nt
Filed under: uncultured bacterium
Lineage: Bacteria
Description: partial 16S ribosomal RNA
Rfam family: Bacterial small subunit ribosomal RNA
Source: RNAcentral
UACGAAGGGGGCUAGCGUUGUCCGGAAUCACUGGGCGUAAAGGGCGCGUAGGCGGCUUUAUAAGUCGGGGGUGAAAGCCUGUGGCUCAACCACAGAAUUGCCUUCGAUACUGUAGAGCUUGAGACCGGAAGAGGUAAGUGGAACUGCGAGUGUAGAGGUGAAAUUCGUAGAUAUUCGCAAGAACACCAGUGGCGAAGGCGGCUCACUGGCCCGGUACUGACGCUGAGGUGCGAAAGCGUGGGGAGCAAACAGG